This 344-nucleotide ribosomal RNA is filed under the name Xanthoconium affine. RNAcentral's name for it is "eukaryotic LSU rRNA". The stretch from base 1 to 106 matches the Rfam family "5.8S ribosomal RNA", at positions 50 to 154 of the family's 154-position model. Lineage: Eukaryota; Fungi; Basidiomycota; Agaricomycetes; Boletales; Boletaceae. The record is from RNAcentral.
GAAUUGCGAUAAGUAAUGUGAAUUGCAGAUUUCCAGUGAAUCAUCGAAUCUUUGAACGCACCUUGCGCUCCUUGGUAUUCCGAGGAGCAUGCCUGUUUGAGUGUCAUCUAAUUCUCAACCAUGUCUACUUUGGACAUGGCUUGGAGUUGGGGGGUCUGCUGGCCCAUGCAUGGGUCAGCUCUCCUGAAAUGCAUUAGCAAAAUGGCAGACAUGCACGGCCUUUCGACGUGAUAAUGAUCGUCGUGGCUGGAGUGUCAGAUCGCCCACGUUGCUUCUAAUCGAUGUCCUUUUCGACAACGCGACGACUUGACCUCAAAUCAGGUAGGACUACCCGCUGAACUUAA